This 5931-nucleotide long non-coding RNA is filed under the name Triticum aestivum (bread wheat). RNAcentral describes it as "long non-coding RNA (TAES_LNC020076)". The record is from RNAcentral. Lineage: Eukaryota; Viridiplantae; Streptophyta; Magnoliopsida; Poales; Poaceae.
CAUUAACCUGACCUCCAGUUCUCAAUUGGAUAACAUGAUAUCAACAUUUCAGGAGUCUCUGAACUUCAGGAGCUACUCUUACAAAAAGGAAAAAAAAACUGGAUACAGUCUGGUGCUUCGACCAGCAGUUUUCCUUCGAGAUGGUCACUUCGCUAUGCACCGAAAUUUGUUCUAUAGUUUCUUCAUGCAUCUAAUUAUCUCAACCUUACUAUAUCAGAUAACAACUUCCUAAUUACGAAAAGAUCAGAAAACUUGACGUAGACAGUUCUAGCACCUUACUUCGCACAUUUGCAACAGCUUUCCCAAAAUGGCAAAAUCUAAAGAGCUAUACCUUUUGUUUUGGUCAAGGAUAAUCACAAUGUCUUGGCAACCUUGUCAUAUAUUUGAUUCUGACCAGAUAUCUUUGCAACAUACAUAUUUUCAUGAACAGCAUUGAACCCAUCAUCUGCAUUUUUAAAACGGGUACCAUAGUUGUUGACAAUAAAGGUCUCAACUACUUGAUGGCCGCUAGCUCCUCAACAUCAGAAAACACCAUCAAAAGGCAUAAUAAUGUAGUAGAUCCUAUAGGAAGCAUUCUGCUUUCUCAAUCUUUUGAUGGCGUCUUCUGUGAUCUGGGUUAUCUAACACACCAGAAAGGCCUCUCAUACUUGUUUCGGGUUGAGGCUGGGCCAGGGGGUUGCGGAUAAGUUGUUCAUGUCCAUCUCUACAAGCGGACGCUUGGUGAGACUCCUCGACCAACCGUGGACCUCAUUAAUUGGUUGUUGCAAGAGUACCAAUGGUGUCAAAUUUCUUCCCCUUCCUCUGGAGCAGCGGAAAUUCAGCCACGACUUGUGAUGAAGGAUGGAAGACUUCUUGUGAUGCGAGUCGAGAUUGUCAUUAGGUUGUAAAUGGAUCUAUUGCAAUACUUGUGUGAAUCCAUAUUAUAAAAGGAGAUCGAUUCUUCUGAUAAUAAGUCGACCAAUUUAUAUGACUCAUGCGCUUAUGAGUUCCAUCUGAAGAUGCUCAUCGACAAAGGAUGAAGGUCUUCACCAAAUGAUCCUCAUAACCUGUAUACUCCUUUGGUCUCAAGGUACAAUGCGUAUAAGAUUUUUCAAGUCAAAACUUCAUAAAUUUUGACCAAAUUUCCAGAACAAUCUUAGGAACAUCUAUAAUACCAAGUCAAUACCACGCCUCGCGCACUGAUCAUUUGCAACAAUUCUGCACAGUCCGUCUCCACGAGCAGUGAUCGGUUCGUCCAGUGAAGGGCCAACUGUAGUCCUUCCUUCAUCGCAGUCAUCUCAGCUUCGAGGGCAUCACCACAAUUGAACAGCGACCGCGUCGCAACAAAGAUGACUGCACCCUCAGUAUCAUCCCGGCACCUGCCGUACCAUCCGCCUUGACAAACACCCCAUCAAUGUUCAGUUUUGCAUAUUCUCUGUCAGGAGCUUCCCAAUCCCAAUACAUCUUAGGCCUUAUUUGAUGUGCGACAGGAGGUUUGUACCCAGAGAUAUCAAGUACUUGUUUACCUUUCACUGGAUCUGCUUCUGAAUGUUGCCUAAUCAUGCAAAGAAAAAAAAUAGAUAAAGGCCGGGGUAAUGAAAACCGUUGCAUAUUUAUGCUAGAAAAGACAGUCAUGAGGUAUAUCUACUUUAUUAUGCAACAAAGAAGAAGAGGGCCUUUUUCUUUUUCUCUUUUCCUUUUCCUUUUCCUUUUUCUUUUUCUUUUUCCCUUUCCCUUUUUUUUCAUUUUCUUCUUUUUUCACGUGGAUGAUUGAGCAUAUGUGCUUAUAUACACUACACCAUGUUAUGUCGCAUCAUAUGGUCAGGUUCCAGCAGCCGGUCAGCAGUAGAUCUCAUUUGUUGAUCCCUACUCGAUCGACCAAUUUUGUUUGUCUUCUGCUAGCUACACCCUACAGCCGAGCUGGCAGAUCGUCUCACUGAUCGAAGAUCAAGCCACCAGCUAACCACGGCAGGUAAAUACAAGUUAUAUCGUCGCAUUCUUAUUAGCUUUGUUUAAUUGUGACAAAGCUCUGGAAGUGUACUCAAAAGUCGUCGUCGUUGCAUGUCCAUUUCCAGCGGUGAAAACGAUAUGGCAGGAGGACUAGAUCAGCUAGUGGCGCUCUGGAGAGAGUGGGGGAUCCAAGUGCUGGUGCUGCUGAGUUUAGCACUCCAGGUAACUCUCCUCAUCACGGCGGAGAUCCGCCGUCGGAAAGACUCCGGCGUGCUAAGGGUCGUCGUGUGGUCGGCAUAUCUACUGGCUGACACAACGGCCAUAUACACUCUGGGCCAUAUGUCGGUGACCAGCAGGUCGCCGGAGCACCAGUUAGUGGCGUUCUGGGCUCCGUUCCUGCUAUUGCACCUUGGUGGCCAGGACAACAUCACCGCCUACUCCAUCGAGGACAACCAUCUGUGGCUGCGCCACCUGCAGAGUUUCGUUGUGCAGGUCCUCGCGGCCGCCUAUGUCCUCUACGAGUCAUCCAUCUUCGUAGGCGGCCGCCGGACCAUGCUCGGCCAGGCCACCAUCCUCAUGUUCGUGGUUGGUGUUGUCAAGUACGGGGAGAGAGUAUGGGCACUCAUGUCUGCCAGCAGUAGUGCCCUGUCUGGGAAGAACUACAACAGUUUUGGCAGGUUGCAUUUUUGAAUACCUCACUUAUACCAGAACUUUGAGGGAUGGACAAUUUCUAGCUCAUGACUUGUUGAACGUACCCAAGCAUCUACUUAAGGGGCCGUUACCUCUUUUGGCAUUUGACUCGAAACUAGGUUGUUUUAGCUGGGAGGACAUGUACCAUGUUGCUGAGAUCCAACUCUCGCUGAUGCACGGCAUCUUCUACAGGAAGAAUGAGUUGAUCCACAAUUGGUACGGGUAUUGCAUCCGUGUUGCCUUGCUGCCGGCCACUGUCACCGCAUUGCUGCUGUUCCGUCGAGUAGGUGACAAAGAUGGUUUCAGCAAAGUAGAUCUCGUUGUCACUUAUGUUUUGCUCUCUGGAGCCGUCGUCCUGGAGAUCACAUCAGUGCUGAGGGCCAUGUCCUCCACCUGGAGGUACCUGUGUUUCACCCGCAUCCGCAUUCUUCCUUGUUGUAUGCCUCCUAUUAGUCGUCCAUUGUUAUAUCUUCUUGAACUUGUAUUUCAAUCUGGGGAGCUCGUCAGACGGGCAAUACAGAAAGUAGGAAUACUUAAGAGGUACUGGUCAGGCUCCAUGGGGCAACACAACUUUAUUUACAUGUGCAGCCACUGUAAGGACAGCCGAGGCAGCAAAAUCGCGAGAUGGAUAGGAAGAGAGGACUGGUGGAACACACUGGUUUACACGUCCUUGUCUGUCCCCGUCUCGCUAGAUUUCAGCGAGCUGCUGAAGGAACAACUGCGGGCAAGUGUGGGCGUCGACAAAGAGAAUCGAGACCACAUCCAAAACUCAAGGGGCCGGGCGGCGCUGAAGAAGAGGGGGUUGCAUGAGGAGCUGGCCUGGAGUGUGGACUCUGAGCUGGAUGAGAGCAUCCUGGUUUGGCACAUCGCCACUGAUGUCUACCUCAGCUGGUACGAGGCGGAACAUAAACGCCUGCCACAUCCUGCAAAGGUAACCCAGGAGCUCUCCAAUUACAUGAUGUUUCUGCUCGCAGCACGUCCCUACAUGCUGCCUGACAAUGCUAGUCGCCAAAGGUAUAUUGAACUGUGCAACAAGGUGAUCUAUCAUCUCCAAUACAACUCGGCCGUGGAUUUGAUCAAGUUAAUGCAGGGGCAUGGAGAUGCUCUCAAUGCUGAACAAACUCAGCCUGCCGUUGUGGUGGAAAAUCUAGUAGUCGAUAUGCCUGCUGCUACAACCAAAGAGAGUAGUGUAACAUUUGACAGAGCAUGUCAGCUUGGCUCGAAGCUGAUUAGCAAAGGGCUGGAAACACCUGAUGCCAUGCUUGAUCUGAUCAGCCAAGUGUGGGUGGAGAUGCUCUGCUACACAGGACACCGGUGCAGGCCAGAUUCUCAUGCCAGACAGCUGAGCAGUGGCGGCGAGAUCACCACCGUCGUUGCCAUUUUGAUGGAAUUCUUGAAAUCUGAUUUUUCUGAAGUUCAACAAAGAAGAGCGGGAUGCUGAGUUGGGGAGCCCGUAACACUAACACUCUGAAUGUUAAUUCUAUGUAGUAAUGCUAUCACACCACCAUAGAUAGCACCAUGAUUGGCAAAAGAUAAGCCUUUGUUUUGUAAAGAUAUCUAUGACAGGCAAUCAAUAAUAAUAUCCAUCGUCGGGCUUUGCUUUCCCCUUUCGUGCUUGGAUUAACUCGGUCAUCUCGAUGCAUGAUCACCAGGUAUUCUUGCUCCCCGUCCUCAUAGAUGCCGGCAGCUUGUAUCUGAGUACGGCCACGUCGAAAGCAGCUAGCUCUACAUAUUUCUUUCUCUUUUCCCAUAUUCACUAAUCUUAACCACUUGUGUGUGUAUGCACCACACCACUCCGCGGUCUUGCUAGCAGUACUCACAAACUACAGAAAAUAAGUCAUACUCGAACAAGCAAACAGCUUAGGUUGGUAUAGGGAAAAUAAGUCAGCCUCCAUGGUGGUCGAAUUUGAAAUGAUCAAAACGUUUAAUUUUUUUUUUUUGAAAGGAUACAAGUGUGUAAAUUUUCAGGACGAAAUACGAGCUGGAUCACCGUGCCUCACGUAUGGCUGGAGCUUGGAAGGAUAACCAUGCGUUUGGACGGUGGCAACCAGAAGUUGAUACUAUUAUCUGCCUAAAUAAGCAUCUCAAAUAUGUGGAACUUCAAGGGUACCGUUAUAAGUUUAUGACACUAGGGAAGAAGAAUUUGCAAGUUUUCUUAUGGCUGGAGCAAAAGUCCUCAGGGCCAUGCGAAUGAUGUAAGGUGGCAAAGCUUCGUCGAAAGCUCAACUUAGCUUUGAAUGGAGGAGCGACAUGGCUACUCUCCAACGAGAAGUUGACAGUUACAACGUGCGUGAAGUUUGCAUUGUUUGAUCUCGGGAUUAGAACAACACAAUCGAGUAAGCAUCAACUACUUUGCUUCACGGGAGAUGAUAACCAUUCCUUACCAAUCCAGCUCGUUGUCAAAGCAAUCUUCAAGUUGACUGAAUCUUUCUCGGUCAGCGAAACUACGACACCGAAGUUCAAGAAACCACAACAGGCUUGUAUAAAAGGCAAUAUGGAACUAAAAACACAGAACUACAGCGCCAUGACAAGUUGGGCCUAUAGGGGAUAAACCCACAAGAAUUCCACCAAGCACUGCAGAGGAUGCAGCAGUGCUGACUAGUUAAUGCCAAAUGAUCAAGUGAUGUAUGCUCACUGGGACUGUUCUGAAAAUUCUGUUUUCAUCCGGUACCAUUAACCUGACCUCCAGUUCCACUUGGAUAUCAAUGAUAUCAGCAUUUCACAAGUUUCUCGACUUCCUUUACAGGAAAAGACAAGAAAAAGAUUCAACCAAGACUCAACCAGUUUACAUUUUUGGUCGCAUCGCUAUCAACGAAAAGAUGUUCCACCUUCCCUUCGCCCAUUCAUCUAACUCUCUGCACCACUCUUGCUAUUGUAAACUUCUCACACAUGUACCAAGUCAUAUAACUACUCCAAACAAAAGUAUCAGAAAACUUGACGCAGCCGGUCCUAGCACUUUAGCUUCUUUGUCGAGGCGGAGUAGCCACUAGCACCUUCCACGAGCCGUUUUGCAAGGUUGCUGCUGGUACUGCUGCCGCUGUUCAUCCAACUACCCUUAGGAUCAGCCACCUUGAGAUCUGCAGCGUCGUACCUGAUAAUGUUGGUCACAAACGCGUAUAUAGAUGUCUCGGCUCUUGGCAGACUCUCCCUUUCAAGAAUCGAUUGCUGCCCGGCACGAGACUGGCGCUCUGCAGUGCACUUCAACUCCUGCAGGACUAGGCUUCUAUCCCUAACAAAACUCUCCUUUUGCUUCUGCACGGAUGCCAUUGGAAUUUUAUGGUAAGCAAAAUGGUAGAUCCACUCACAAGUUCA